RNAcentral lists this ribosomal RNA (468 nucleotides) under uncultured bacterium. Its description in RNAcentral is "partial 16S ribosomal RNA". It matches the Rfam family "Bacterial small subunit ribosomal RNA", at positions 28 to 507 of the family's 1533-position model. The record is from RNAcentral.
GACGAACGCUGGCGGCGUGCUUAACACAUGCAAGUCGAACGGAAAGGCCCUGCUUUUGUGUGGUUCUCGUUUGGCGAACGGGUGAGUAACACGUGAGUAACCUGCCCUUGACUUUGUGAUAACUUCAGGAAACUGGGGCGAAUACCGGAUAGGAUCUUCUGCUGCAUGUUGGUGGUUGGAAAGUUUCGGCGGUGGGGGAUGGACUCGCGGGUUAUCAGCUUGUUUGGGGGGUAGGUGCUGUCGAAGGUUUUGACGGGUAGCCUGCCUAGGAGGGUUAACGGCCACCUUGGGCCUACGAUACGGAGCAGAAUGGUACGGGAGGCAGCAGUGGAGAAUCUUGCACAAUGGGGGGAAGUCUGAUGCAGAAACGCCGCGUGCGGGAUGACGGCCUUCGGGUUGUAAACAGAUUUCGCAUGUGACGAAGCGUGAGUGACGGUAAUGGGUAAAGAAGCAACGGCUAACUACGUG